Long non-coding RNA from Pygocentrus nattereri (red-bellied piranha), 775 nucleotides. RefSeq lists it as uncharacterized. The transcript is spliced from 2 exons. The record is from RefSeq and is a predicted model, not a curated record. NCBI's taxonomy places the organism in Eukaryota, Metazoa, Chordata, Actinopteri, Characiformes, Serrasalmidae.
CUUGGGCGAAACAAAGGCUCGAGGAAAGUUUGGAAUCCCCUUUUCAGACCCAAAGAAACAUGAUUCUCAUAUUGUCUUUAUUAUUUUUCUUUUCUGUUUUUGUUCAAAGCCACAGAGAAAUUAUUUGUACAGCGCUUUCUACAGGAGGUGUUGUUCUGAAGUGAAAUGAGUGAAAUGAGAUGGACUGGAAUGAACUUAGAAGGUCUUGAUUAGAAUUAAACCGAGUGAAACGAGAUUGUCUCCGCUGGAUUGUACUGAACUGGUGUAGGCUUAGGUGGUCUGGACCAGACUGGACUGCAGUGAAAGGGAAUGCAACAGGAUGGAUUUGACUGGAUGCGCAAAAAGCGGCCUUACAGAUCAUGGAUGGAACGUUUGGAUUUAUUUUGGAAUCUGAGGUCAAGAAAAUUGAAACCUGGCCCAAACGUUAGUGACGUGCUCACCUUGAACAGUGGGUGGGCUGAAGGCAGGUUGCGCAUUGUUGCAAGAGAGAAAACCUCAGCCAGCAGGUGUGUUUGCAGCAGAUGGACGUUCAGCUCAUGUUCAUGAAAUCCUGCACUCCUCACAAAGGUCUUCGCCAGGAGCCAAUCCCAUUCGGAGUCGCUGGGAAGAAAGAUGGGAUUCUCCACGCCGGGCUUCUGGUUCAACUGCAGGGAAUAUGUUUAACAGCUGAACUGUAAAGGGUUGAUAUCCCAGACAUUGAUUUAAACUACAGGCCUGUUUCCAGAAAAAGUUGGGAUGCUGUGCUAAAUGUAAAUAAAAACAGUUUGAGAAUUUU